AACGCACAUUGCGCCCUCUGGCAUUCCGGAGGGCACACCUGUCCGAGCGCCGUCGCAAGCUGAGGCAUAGCCUUGUGUUGGAGGACAACUUUACGGAGUAGCCUCCCAAACUUCGACGGCGCCGCACCGCGGCCGACGACGCACAAAAGCAGAGUCGACCCCGGAUGUGGCCGCCUUGUAAACCACCCAAGCUUGGCCUCGGAUCAGGUGGGGAUACCCGCUGAACUUAA
This 230-nucleotide unclassified non-coding RNA is filed under the name uncultured Ascomycota. RNAcentral's name for it is "sequence contains 5.8S rRNA gene, ITS2, 28S rRNA gene". Lineage: Eukaryota; Fungi; Ascomycota. The record is from RNAcentral.